UGCAGAAUCCCGUGAACCAUCGAGUUUUUGACGCAAGUUGCGCCCGAAGCCAUUAGGCCGAGGGCACGUCUGCCUGGGCGUCA
Molecule: ribosomal RNA, 83 nt
Filed under: Rhodiola kaschgarica
Lineage: Eukaryota; Viridiplantae; Streptophyta; Magnoliopsida; Saxifragales; Crassulaceae
Description: partial 5.8S ribosomal RNA
Rfam family: 5.8S ribosomal RNA
About the family: 5.8S ribosomal RNA (5.8S rRNA) is a component of the large subunit of the eukaryotic ribosome. It is transcribed by RNA polymerase I as part of the 45S precursor that also contains 18S and 28S rRNA. Functionally, it is thought that 5.8S rRNA may be involved in ribosome translocation.
Source: RNAcentral